AUGGUUUACCGUCCCACAUAC
This 21-nucleotide non-coding RNA is filed under the name Sus scrofa (pig). Its record names the gene ssc-miR-299. RNAcentral also lists the same sequence under 1 other name. Lineage: Eukaryota; Metazoa; Chordata; Mammalia; Artiodactyla; Suidae. The record is from miRBase by way of RNAcentral.